UUCUGUAAGAGUUUGAUCCUAGCUCAGGAUCAACGCUUGCGGCGUGGAUAAGGCAUGCAAGUCGAGGGGGUGCAUCACUGUGCGCACGAAACGUGCGCAGUUCCAAGUCACAAGUCACAAGUCACAAGUAAAUGCAUCUGUAUUUCACUUGAAACUUGCUACUUGAAACUUGCUACUGCGAUUGCGUCUUCGCGAACGCAGUGAUGCAUCACCGGCAGACGAGGUAGUAACACGUAGGAACGAACCCCGUAGUCAGGGAUAACCCAUCGAAAGAUGGGAUAAUACUUGAUACACUCGCGAGAGGAAAGAUUUAUCGCUAUGGGAUCGGCCUGCGACGUAUCAGCUAGUUGGUAGGGUAAUGGCCUACCAAGGCAAUGACGCGUAGGGGAGGUGAGAGCCUGACCCCCACCGAUGGGACUGCGACACGGCCCAUACACCUACGGGUGGCUGCAGUCGAGAAUCUUCCACAAUGGACGAAAGUCUGAUGGAGCGACGCCGCGUGACUGAUGAAGUCUUUCGGGAUGUAAAGGUCUUUUAUGAGGGAUGACAUAGCGACAGUACCUCAUGAAUAAGGGGCUGCUAAUCUCGUGCCAGCAGCAGCGGUAAUACGAGAGCCCCGAGCGUUAUCCGGAAUUACUGGGCGUAAAGUGUGCGUAGGUGGCGUAGUUAGUCUCCUCACAAAUCCGUCGGCUCAACCGACGAACUAGAGGGGAAACGGCUAUGCUUGAGUAUGCAAGAGGUUCGUGGAACUCAUGGUGUAGGGGUGAAAUCCGUUGAUAUCAUGGGGAACACCAAAUGCGAAGGCAGCGAACUGGUGCAUUACUGACGCUGAGGCACGAAAGCGUGGGUAGCGAAUGGGAUUAGAUACCCCAGUAGUCCACGCCCUAAACGAUGUUCUCUCGCUUUUCGGAGUAUCGACCCUCUGAGAGGCUAAGCUAACGCGAUAAGAGAACCGCCUGGGUAGUACGAUCGCAAGAUUAAAACUCAAAGGAAUAGACGGGGACUUGCACAAGCGGUGGAUUAUGUGGUUUAAUUCGACGGUACACGAAAAACCUUACCAAGGCUAGAUAUUCUAGAGAAAGACUUAGGAAACUAAUUAACUCCGCAAGGACUCUAGAACAGGUGAUGCAUGGCCGUCGUCAGUUCGUGGUUUGAACUGUUCCCUUAAGUGGGGUAACGAACGCAACCCCUGUCGUCUGUUACAAGUGUCAGGCGAGACUGCCCAGCCCUUUGCGCACAAAGUGCGCAGUAGCAAGCAACAAGUCGCAAGUCACAAGUAGUAAAUGCGCAAUGCAUUUUACUUGAAACUUGAAACUUGAAACUUGAGACUGCC
RNAcentral lists this ribosomal RNA (1333 nucleotides) under bacterium. RNAcentral describes it as "bacterial SSU rRNA". It matches the Rfam family "Bacterial small subunit ribosomal RNA", at positions 1 to 1162 of the family's 1533-position model. The record is from RNAcentral.